Long non-coding RNA from Daucus carota subsp. sativus, 2985 nucleotides. RefSeq lists it as uncharacterized. The transcript is spliced from 14 exons. The record is from RefSeq and is a predicted model, not a curated record. Lineage: Eukaryota; Viridiplantae; Streptophyta; Magnoliopsida; Apiales; Apiaceae.
GAUGUGUAAAUUAUAUGUGUGUGUCACGUUUUUGCUUGAAGUUGAUGUGGUUACUGUGUGUUUGUGGUUGUGAAUAAGUAGUUGAAUAUACAAAUAGAGGAAUCUAAGAAGAAAGAAGUUAACGUUGAAGAUAAUGUGCUUGCACCAUCUUCUCAAUCCAAUUGUUUUAUAAUUAGUAGAUUUAAGCUUGGAAUUGAGCUUGUACUUUCUUUUAUCUGACGUGUUUGAUCAAUUUUCCACUUUUUGUUUGUAUGGAAUGAGUGUCAAUGUUGGUGUUGUCGUGUAGUUAUGCAAAAAAUGAAUUCUGGUUUGAGAGUGAUGUCAAUAUACAUAUAAUAGUAGGAGUGUUGAUGAACAUGUCUAGAUUGAAACUGAUUACAUGAUGUGGGGUUAUUGCAGCCAUAUGUGUUGUACGGUGAUUUUUACCGAUACGAUGUUGACAAGAAUGAGUGGAAAUUAAUAUCCAGCCGUGACAGUCCACCACAUCGCGGUGCUUAUCACGCUGUUUCCCGGAAGAAUGUCUUUCCAUUUAUGGUGGUAAAUUUACCUCUCCCAAUCAAGAGCGUUUCAACCACUUCAAGGACUUCUGGAUGUUGGACUUGAAAACCAAUAAAUGGGAACAACUAAAUUUUAAAGGAUGUCCUAGUCCUCGGUCAGGCCACUGGAUGCAAUGGACAGGACAAUUACCUUGAAGAGGCUAUGAAAUUAAGAAUCUUCUUGAUGAACUUUUGAGGAAAUCAUGGCAUUCGCCCUCCAACCAUUCUUGGUGUGAGAGAGCAUGUUUUGACAGGUGUGUACUCUUUGGCCUGGUUUAUGUCCAACCGAGAGACUAGUUUUGUGACAUUGGGACGUGUUCUAGCCUAUCCUCUAAAGCUGUUUUCAGCUAUAUUACAAUGCAGCUUCAUCUUUGCUCAUUCUUUCACAUAUUCUCCCUGGGUACUAGAACCCAUUAUUGAUGUACCAUUCUGCACGGAGGAGCAAAAUAUCGAGCAACUGGUAGAGGCUUUGUUGUCCAUCAGAUCAAGUUUGCUGAUUACAGGCUAAACUUGAGAAGUCAUUUUAUUAAAGCGCAAGUAAUUCAAGUGGACUCUCUUGAUGAAGGUGGUAAAUUUACCUCUCCCAAUCAAGAGCGUUUCAACCACUUCAAGGACUUCUGGAUGUUGGACUUGAAAACCAAUAAAUGGGAACAACUAAAUUUUAAAGGAUGUCCUAGUCCUCGGUCAGGCCACUGGAUGCAAUGGACAGGACAAUUACCUUGAAGAGGCUAUGAAAUUAAGAAUCUUCUUGAUGAACUUUUGAGGAAAUCAUGGCAUUCGCCCUCCAACCAUUCUUGGUGUGAGAGAGCAUGUUUUGACAGGUGUGUACUCUUUGGCCUGGUUUAUGUCCAACCGAGAGACUAGUUUUGUGACAUUGGGACGUGUUCUAGCCUAUCCUCUAAAGCUGUUUUCAGCUAUAUUACAAUGCAGCUUCAUCUUUGCUCAUUCUUUCACAUAUUCUCCCUGGGUACUAGAACCCAUUAUUGAUGUACCAUUCUGCACGGAGGAGCAAAAUAUCGAGCAACUGGUAGAGGCUUUGUUGUCCAUCAGAUCAAGUUUGCUGAUUACAGGCUAAACUUGAGAAGUCAUUUUAUUAAAGCGCAAGUAAUUCAAGUGGACUCUCUUGAUGAAGCUGAAGCUCUGCAGCGAUAGGCUGGCCCCAUUCUGCUGCUGUGUAUAUAAGAGCAUCAUGGUAUUCUAAAGGAACCUUCAGUAAAGGAGAAAUAUCAUAGUAACUCAAAUUAAGGUAUUAAGGUAUCAUCCGAAUGAAACUUGGUCUGUUAAGAGAGUAAGAGUCAUUCGUGUAGAUAUAAAAAGCUCAAAAAAGCAAACAGCUUGAUACACAUAUAUCCCAUAUGUGAACAUUUACGAGAUGUAAAAAUAUCAAUAUCAGGAAUUUCUAGUCAUAUGUUGUAUCAAUAAACAAUGUGAUAGAUAUACUAAAGAAAGACCUACUUGUUAAUAUAAAUGCUUAGUUAUAUUGUAGAAGAUAGUAUUUUAUCCAAAGCUCCAGACAAAGAAAUCAUCAAUAUAAAACAUGAAAGAUGACCCUUUAAUUCUGAUUAUUUAGUGAUUUGGGUGUUGAAUCGAUUUAUUCAGCAUGCACAUAUCAAAGACCGUUAGUAAUUAAAGUCUUUAUUUACUGUUACCUAUUGCACUUCUUUGACAUUACUAGAGGGAGUGUGAUAAAAGCUUAGUUAUGUUGUAUAAGACGGUAUUUUUAUAAUAUUCUUGUUUUUUAAGAUAGUUAUAUUCUUGUGGCAAAAAAAAAAAGAAGAAAAGAUAGUUUUAUUCUUCAGAAUUUCUCUCAGUAAUGCUUUCAUGGCUAUAGACGAGAAAUAGGAUGAUCUCGAUCUGGCAGAUUCUUGUUUAAUUCACAUAGAGUAGCUUGCUACAUGUCAAGUGAAUAAGCCUUGUGGCCUCUUAUGUCGUCAUAAAGGACAGGCAUAGCCUCAUUUUCCGUGUGAAGUGAAUACACUUGUAGCAAUAUAUAAGUAGUGACAAGGUUUUUCACGGGACCUGAGGAAAGGAUACAAUCAAUAUUCCCUAUUUUAUAAUAAUUCUAAUUUAACCACCAACGCUAGAAUAAAGUGAUCCACAAUCUAAUAAUCGCACUGAAUAAUCAUCAACAGGGUAAAAUGCGAUUCACGAAUCAGGACUAAAGAUGUCAAAUUUCUAUCAAGAUAAGAGAAACUUAUGACCAGUCACAAUCCUAGGAUUUAGUAAAUCAACAAGAAUGUUCCAAUGUACCAAGAAAAAGAAUAAAUUUAUGGAGAAACAUUUUUUUAAAACUUUAUAAGAAUCAGUAUAGUCCUGAUCCCCAUUUUAUUCAUUAUUCAAUCAAACAAAGAAUCAGUUGCACAUCUAAACUUUAAAUUUAUUCAUUCUAAUAUAAAGAUUAACACACACCACUUAAAAGAUCAACCAAGUUAAAGUAGUUAUACCUGGA